UUUGGUAACCAUAGCAUGUUGGUCCCACCUGAUCCCAUUCCGAACUCAGUAGUGAAACGACAUAGCGCCGAUGGUAGUGUGGGGCUUCCCCAUGUGAGAGUAGGACAUUGCCAAAC
RNAcentral lists this ribosomal RNA (116 nucleotides) under Gammaproteobacteria bacterium MedPE. RNAcentral also lists the same sequence under 1 other name. The record is from RNAcentral. Lineage: Bacteria; Pseudomonadati; Pseudomonadota; Gammaproteobacteria.